AGUCGGGCCUUGUUAUCGACCCAUCAUUCUUCCCUAAGUCGUAAGAGUCGGCCUUACUUUAUAUGUGGGAGCAAGAGAUACAGGAAUCAUCGCUCAUAGAUGUGAAUUGAGAAAGCAAGCCCGAAUUCUUUUAAAUGGAAUUAGGCUCUAUAGUCUGGUCACUGUGCCAGGUAAGUCUUAUUGUUAUCCGCAAGUGUAGUUUUGACCGCAGGAAGGUUCACUUGGAAAAAGUGCUUAUUUGGUUGGGAAAGAGAGGACGGACUUUGGACUACGAGCCUACCACACCCGAAAACUGGUGGAAGCUGUAGCCUCUUAUCUUGUCGCUACCCACUAGAAGAAUCCCUUCUAUACCACUCACAAAGAAACCCAAAUCCUUUCCAUCAAGAUAGAUUGAAUCGACGACCUAUACUUAAGCACAAGGGAAUCCAGGGUGAAAAAGCACAGAACAUAGGAAAUGCAAUGGGUCUCCGAACGAAGUCUAAGGCACGUAAAACGGUGAUUGAUUCCUAACUUAUGUUCUGCACUUAUUUAAUAGGAAGAAGAAAUCGAUUCUGCGUCGUCGCUUCCCAGAUUUGGAAAAUUCAUGAGCCAGCCCGGAAAAUCCAAGUUGAACUAUCUUCCCCGUCUAUCCAUCUGAAAUGAUGAGAAAGACUCGCUCGUUAUUAAAGGCAGCAGCUCGUUA
Non-coding RNA from Musa acuminata subsp. malaccensis (wild Malaysian banana), 682 nucleotides. NCBI's taxonomy places the organism in Eukaryota, Viridiplantae, Streptophyta, Magnoliopsida, Zingiberales, Musaceae. The record is from RefSeq and is a predicted model, not a curated record.